RNAcentral lists this ribosomal RNA (254 nucleotides) under uncultured bacterium. RNAcentral describes it as "partial 16S ribosomal RNA". It matches the Rfam family "Bacterial small subunit ribosomal RNA", at positions 524 to 776 of the family's 1533-position model. The record is from RNAcentral.
UACGGGGGGAGCAAGCGUUGUUCGGAUUUACUGGGCGUAAAGGGCGCGUAGGCGGCCAGCGCAAGUCAGUUGUGAAAUCUCCGAGCUUAACUCGGAAAGGUCAACUGAUACUGCGCGGCUAGAGUGCAGAAGGGGCAACUGGAAUUCUCGGUGUAGCGGUGAAAUGCGUAGAUAUCGAGAGGAACACCUGCGGCGAAGGCGGGUUGCUGGGCUGACACUGACGCUGAUGCGCGAAAGCGUGGGGAGCAAACAGG